RNAcentral lists this ribosomal RNA (188 nucleotides) under uncultured bacterium. RNAcentral describes it as "partial 16S ribosomal RNA". It matches the Rfam family "Bacterial small subunit ribosomal RNA", at positions 340 to 524 of the family's 1533-position model. The record is from RNAcentral.
UACGGGAGGCAGCAGGAUGGAAUAUUGGUCAAUGGAGGCAACUCUGAACCAGCCAUGCCGCGUGAAGGAUGACGGCCCUAUGGGUUGUAAACUUCUUUUAUAGAGGAAGAAACUUGUGCUACGUGUAGACAACUGACGGUACUCUACGAAUAAGGAUCGGCUAACUCCGUGCCAGCAGCCGCGGUAAU